Molecule: long non-coding RNA, 4254 nt
Organism: Felis catus (domestic cat)
Lineage: Eukaryota; Metazoa; Chordata; Mammalia; Carnivora; Felidae
Exons: 5
Source: RefSeq, a predicted model, not a curated record
AGAAAAGAAAAGAAAAAGAAAAAAGAAAAAGAAUUGGACCAGCAAACAGCUGAAGUACGAUUGAAAUUACAUCGGUUCCCCCUCAAACUGUGAAGCACUUUAUAGUCCAUAAACUAAGCAUGCAGAGACUUCCUGAAGAUCGAGGAUGGUUUAGUGUUGAUCUGGCUGUAUUUCAGGGACAAGAGAUGCAAAAAAACUUCCAUGCUGUUCCGCCAUCUUGGCCCCUUCUAAUUUAGCAUUUUAAAGGAUGCUCAUUGGGUUGACUUGGCAUGACUCUGGUGGGAUGUAGAUGAAGUCUUCAUUCAGAAGGUUAAAAUAGUGUCUUGGAUGGGAAGUUUGAAUUAUGUAACAAACAAUGUCAGGUUUUCAGAAUCUUCUGCAAAAACCUGCUGCUGGGACCCUGAGAAGAAAGGGACACUCAAACACAGAGAAGAAUCAGCUCCUGUUGAAUUUCCAGAAAGUCAGUCACUGUCCUCCAUCACAAAGACUGAAGGAGGUGCUCCUUUCAUUUUGUAAUUCUCCUUUGCCUCAGGGUAAUAUUUGGCAUAUGCUUGGAUGACCGAUUGAUUCUUCUGCUUCACAUGGACUGAAAUGAGCUCAGUUUAUGGUGUUCAGCUGGCAAUUUGACUGGUCUGCAGGAUCCUAGAUAGCUUCACUCACAUGACUGAAACAUUGGUAAGGCUGGAUUUGGCUAACCCCAUCUCACAUAGAAGCUGGGCUCAGUCAGGCCCUUCUCUCUGCAUGUAGUCUCAAAGCCUGUCCACGAGGUCUCUCCGGAAGGUUGCCAAACAUCUUACCUAUCAUCCAAUGGCUUCAAAAGGCAAUGUUCCAAGGGAUAGGAAAUGAAUGCUUCCAUUUUUUUAAGCCCAAGUCUUGGAAAUUGGCAGUGUCAUUGUUGCCAUAUUUUAUUAGUUAAAGCACUAACAGAGUCUCUACUCAGAUUUAGGUGGAAAGAACAUAGACACCAUUUCUUAAUAAGGAAAGCAUCAAAGUAUUUGUGGCCCUAUUUAAUCUGCCACAUAAAGAAAGUUAACAGUGAAGCCAAGAGUUGAACCCAUAUCUCCUGCAUCAGAUGCAUGCAUGUGUCAUUAUAGCAUUCAUUCAUUCAUUCAUGAUUCAACAAACAUUUCUGGACUACCCCAUUCCACUAGGCAUCCUAUUAGAUGCUAGGACUAGAUAUAAACAUUAAAAAUAUAUAAACACUAUUCUGAGUUAGCCCACAGUUUAACAAAGUCAGCAGAUAUGUUUACAGAUCAUGCUAUAUGCUAAUAGAGAAGUGUGCCAAAUGCUGGGGGAACACAGAAGAGGGAGGAAAUAUCUGCAGUGGGGAAGAGAGUGUAUCAGGAGGGCUUCCCAGUGAAAUGAUCUUAGAGUGAGUUUUAAAAGCUGAAGAGAAUUUGUUGAGGAAACAAUGAAAGACUUUCUAUGCAUAGGCCAAGGGGAGGCAGGGUGAAAGAGUGCGGUAUGUUUGAAUUCAUUGAAUUCACAUGGUUGCUACAGAGGACAUGAGAAACACAAACCACUAAGAAACUAUUAAAUGUUUUUUCCUAAGGCAAUUAGAGAGAUAUAAGGAGAAAGUUAUUGGAGACUUCAACUCAAUAUAUUUCUACUUGAUGAAUCCAAGAGUUGGGACUCCAAAGCUUUUCUUUCUGUGUUCCCAUAUGCAACCCUCCCACCCCCAUUUCUUCAUUAAAUCAUGGCAGGAGGAGAAGAAAAUAGGUCAUUUAGUGUUCUAUAUUUACAUCCAGCAUAUAAACUUGUCUUUCAGCAAGUAUACAAGUCUGGUACGACUAUAUGUGAGAAAUAUUAAUCAUGUCUUUUCACAUGGUUAUUUGAAAACUACACAUUGAGCCUGGCCCCAGUACUUGCUGGAGUAGAGAUUGAUGUGGUACAACUAAGACGUUAUUUUACUUGGCAUCAGACUCCAGCACACUAAGUCAGGGUCACUAGUAAGUGGUCCAUUCUACUAACUAUCCUCUAUGAUGCCUUUGUGAAAAUUAGAAAAAGCUACCCCUUCUGGGCAGAUAUAGCCCUACAUCAGGUUUCAGUGACUCAGGAAGUAGAGUAAGGUCUGAAUUUUAGUUGCCACUUGUUUCCUGGCUUGAGCACCUUUGUGACAUAUACAAGAUGUGAAAUUCUAUGUUCUGGCCUUGCCUGAUUAUUGGUAUUCCAUUGUUAAAUUCAGAAUAAAGCCUGUGGACACAGACCAGAGAAGCUAGUUUCUGUUCCCUUAUCUCCACAUCCCUUGACUCUAAUGUAUCUUGUGACUUACUGUUCAAACACUAAGCAAUCCUCCUCCUCCUCUGUGCUUAAUUUCCUCUCUGAAAGCUCCAAGGACUAUUCCUUCCCACCCUGGAAUACAUAGCCUCAUUUAUCAGGAAUAAGUUUGGCAAGCAUAAUAUUCUAUCCAUGCUUUCACCUGCCUCAGGAAAAUAGCUUUUAAAGGUUUGUUUUUUUUUUCAUAGCACAAACCACUUUGAAACAUUAAUACCAAGAAUAAAGGGAAAGAGAGAGAGAGAGAAAAAAAAAAAACACUGCCUAUAACCUUGUCUCCUAUCAGAAAAAUCAUUUCCAUUUCUCCACAUUACCUUGGUGACCAUUAUCUCCAAGUUUCUAGGUUCCAAACUCCAUCAACAUGUAUGCCAUUUCUUUUCAUUGUUUUAAUGAGAGAAAACAUUUCAUUUUCUGUAUUUUUUACUAAGUGGUAUUUCCCAGGAACUUUUCAUGUUUCACUUAUGCAUAUAUUCAACAAAUAUUUAGGUAGUUCCUAGAAUUUGCCAGACUCUAGCAAAUUUUAGAUGCUGAGAAUUCAGUAGUGAAAACGACAAAGCCCUUACUCUAUGGACUUAAUUAUAGUGAGAGAGACAUACAAUGAACAAUACACACAUAGUAAAAUAUCAGGUUCUAUAAAGAAAAACAAAGUAAGGCAAGGGACUAGAGAAUAAUGUUGUAGAGAAUGCUGGUUUUAGAAAAUAUCUCUUGAAGUGAAUAUAUGAUUAUUUAAUCAAUUUCCUUUAAUCAAAUAUUUGGAUCAUUAUUUCCAAGAUUUUCCUUCAGUAAAUAUAUAUAUUAUCUCCUGGUUUUUAAUGUAAAGAUAUUGUGAUCACCAUAAGUUAUUUUUUAGUGGGCAAAAUGUUACCAAGAGAGGAUUCUGGAAAGAUGGCAAAGUAGUAAAUGCCAAGAUUCAGCACUAGCAGAAUCUGCCUCAUAUAACUAUGUAUUUGGAACUCUGGAGUCUACUGAUGCCUUGCUUACAACUUCCAGGGGAAUACUUGGAAGAUAAAUUUGUGGUGAAUUUCAAUCAAUUUCAACUCUUAGAACAGUAACAGCUAUCUAUCCUUCACCCCCAGUGGCAGGCAGCUGUGCACAGCUUCCCGAAGCAGCUUUAACACAGCUCAUGGGAGUCAGGGUGAGCAUAAAGGACCCUGUCCUCCAAAUAUUGGGAAUCUGUGCUCUGAUUGGUGAUUGCUGCUUCAAAUCACAGAGGUAUAGACAAAGAGGUGGGCAGCCAUUGUUGUUGUCGAACCUUCCCGUUGUUGCAAGCCCCUCCCCCUCCAGCUAGUUACUUCCAGGGAAUUUAAAGGCCUAGUACCCCUUUUUUGCUCCCUUCAUUGUUCUCUUUUCCCCCUGACAGAAUUGAAGGGAAAAAUAGGCAAUUCUACAACAUAGUUGGAGAUGUCAAUACCCUGCUCACAACAAUAGAUAGGACAACCAUUCCAGAAGAUGAUAAGUAAGGAAAUAAAGGACUUAGCACAAUAAACCAACUUCAUCUAACAAACAUACACAGAACACUCUACCCAACAACAACAGCAUACACAUUCUUCUUAAGUGCCUAUAGGACAUUUUUUAGGGUAGACCAUAUAUUAGACCACAAAUUAAGUCUCAAUAGAUUUAAAAAGAUAAAUAUUAUGAAAAGUAUCUUCAAUGGGAUGAAAUUAGGAAUAAAUAACAGAAGGAAAAUUGGAAAAUCCACAAAAUUGUGCCUAUUAAACAACAUACUUUUAAACAAACAAUAGUUGAAAGAAAAAAUCACAAAGCAAAUUAGGAAACAUUUAGAGGUGAAUGACAAACAAAAACACAACAUACCAAAACUUAUGGGACUCAGCAAAAGCAGUGUUAAGGGAGAAAUUUAUAGCCAUAAAAACAUUAAAAAACAAGAAAUAUCUCAAAUCAACAACCUAGCCUUAUAGUUUAAGGAACAAGAAAAAGAACAAACUAAACCCAAAGCUAACAGAAGAGAAGAGAUAAUAUAGA